GCCUUCGUGGUGUAGCGGUCAGCACGCUCGACGCGUAACCUAGAAGUCCGUGGUUCGAUUCUCGGCGAGGGCG
Molecule: transfer RNA, 73 nt
Filed under: Stegodyphus mimosarum
Lineage: Eukaryota; Metazoa; Arthropoda; Arachnida; Araneae; Eresidae
Rfam family: tRNA
About the family: Transfer RNA (tRNA) molecules are approximately 80 nucleotides in length. Their secondary structure includes four short double-helical elements and three loops (D, anti-codon, and T loops). Further hydrogen bonds mediate the characteristic L-shaped molecular structure. tRNAs have two regions of fundamental functional importance: the anti-codon, which is responsible for specific mRNA codon recognition, and the 3' end, to which the tRNAs corresponding amino acid is attached (by aminoacyl-tRNA synthetases). tRNAs cope with the degeneracy of the genetic code in two manners: having more than one tRNA (with a specific anti-codon) for a particular amino acid; and 'wobble' base-pairing, i.e. permitting non-standard base-pairing at the 3rd anti-codon position.
Source: Rfam by way of RNAcentral